RNAcentral lists this non-coding RNA (128 nucleotides) under Paramoeba aestuarina. The record is from RNAcentral. Lineage: Eukaryota; Discosea; Flabellinia; Dactylopodida; Paramoebidae.
AACCUGCACAACUUUUACAGGUGAAAUUGGACAUGUCGGAAGGCCUUCAUGAAGAGCAAAAAGCUGUUUAUUUUGAGAUUUUUGGAAAAAUUCCGUUUUAUUGCGGUGAUACUGGAAAAGUCUCAGAC